CACGAGCGUCUCGAGAGCAAAUAUGUGCAACCAAUCAGAAGCGAGUUAGUUUUUAUCUGUUGUCUCUCUUUCAUCCGUUGUUUACGUUUUUGGACUUGUAUGUUAUUUUAUGAUGGUGUAUUCCUAUAUUUAUUGUCAUUCAUGUGUAUAAAUCAUCACAUUAGAAAAAACAUAGAAAUAAUUAUAUACAAAUACACCAUCAUAAAAUAAAAUACAAGUCCAAAAAGUAAACAACGGACGAAAGAGAGACAACAGAUAAAAACUAACUCGCUUCUGAUUGGUUGCACAUAUUUGCUCUCGAGACGCUCGU
Long non-coding RNA from Planococcus citri (citrus mealybug), 310 nucleotides. RefSeq lists it as uncharacterized. NCBI's taxonomy places the organism in Eukaryota, Metazoa, Arthropoda, Insecta, Hemiptera, Pseudococcidae. The record is from RefSeq and is a predicted model, not a curated record. The transcript is spliced from 2 exons.